CUGAGAAACGGAGGUUGGCCGUGCCCGGGGCCUUCUGGGAAUCGUAGUUCUGGGCUGGAUGAGGCUCGCCAGCCUCGCCCCAUCCCCUUCUUACGCAUGCGCGGCUCCGAGCUGGCCCCAGAGGUUCGGAGCCUUUGUCAAGCCCGGAUGGGAGGUACAGUGCCGAGCGGCCGGAACAGGCAUCCGAGGAUCGGUCUGGGGGACCUGGCCCCCCGCGGGAUCCAGGUGCCGAUGGCCCGGGCCCGAGGAAGAAGCGGGGCCUGACCUGACCCGGCCUUUCCGCAGCGCCCCGAGGGCCGGCCGGCGGGAGGACGGGGCUUCUCGCUGUGACGUGCCGAGAGGUCCAGAUGGAGGAGCGCGGAGACGGGAGCUCCGAAUCUUCGGAACCGGGAGGAUUGGGGAUCAUGGAGGCAGAUUGGGCCGAGGUGCCCGAGAAGAGAGCUACGUCUUUCCAGGAUUCUUUCUAUUCCCAAGAGAAGAGCACAGAAAAGGGAGAAGUGGCAGCUCUCCACCUCACAGCCAGAUCCCAGAGCCCAUCUGGAGAGCUGAGUUCUAAUCUAAGACUACUCGGGUGGCUAAUGGACUCAGUAGAAAAUGUUUUCUGCUAACCCAUGGCAUCUUCUCCAUCUAGUUAUACUUAUUGUCAGUCAACAGGCAGGCGUCCGUGACAUUCAAGGAUGUGGCCAUGGACCUUACCCCCGAGGAGUGGGGGAAGCUGGAUCCUGCACAGAGGGACGUGAUGCUGGAGAACUAUAGGAACCUGGUCUCGCUCUGGCUUCCAGUUUCCAAGCCUGAGAACUACAAUUUGGAGAAUGGAAAGGAAACAUUGAUGCUUGAGAGAAAAGUCCCCAGAAGCAGCUAUUCAGGUCCAUGAAUUUUCACAAGUUGAACACAGCUCCCGAAUCAAGAAACAACCUUUCCAGCACCCCUAGAAAUACCCUGUGCCCUCUUUAAGUCACUGCCCUCCUUCCUAGAGUAACCUUAUCCUAACUUCUAAUACCCAGAUUAGUUUUGAUUUAGUUUUAUAUAAACAGAAUCAUAUUGUAUAUACUCUUGUGCCUGACUUCCUUCACUAAAGAUUACUGUGAGAUACAUUCAUUUUGUAACAUUUAAUUAUAGUUCAUUCUCAUUGUUAUAUAGUCUUUCAUUAUGUCAGUAUACUAGAUUUUUGAGUAGUUCCAGUUUUUAGCUAUAUGAGUAAUGCUGCUUAUGUAUAUUCUCUCUUUUGAUGAGCACAUGUAUGCAUUUCUGUCGGAUAUAUACAUUAAGUAGAAUUGUUGGGUUGGAGGGUAGAUCAUGUUCACUUUUGGUAGAUAUUGUCAAAAGAUCCCCAAAGUACACUGCCAGUGUGGCUCGGUCAGUUAGAGCGUUGUCCCGAGCACCAACUGGUCGCAGGUUCAAUUCCAGUCAGGGCACAUACCCAGGUUGUGGGUUCAAUCAAUGCUUCUCUCUCACAUCAA
Myotis daubentonii (Daubenton's bat) is the source of this 1460-nucleotide RNA transcript. It is a transcript of the gene named zinc finger protein 286A-like, with no coding region annotated. The record is from RefSeq and is a predicted model, not a curated record. NCBI's taxonomy places the organism in Eukaryota, Metazoa, Chordata, Mammalia, Chiroptera, Vespertilionidae. The transcript is spliced from 7 exons.